Molecule: ribosomal RNA, 464 nt
Filed under: Babesia canis
Lineage: Eukaryota; Apicomplexa; Aconoidasida; Piroplasmida; Babesiidae
Description: SSU rRNA
Rfam family: Eukaryotic small subunit ribosomal RNA
Source: RNAcentral
CAGGGCGAAUGUCUUGUAAUUGGAAUGAUGGUGACCCAAACCCUCACCAGAGUAGCAAUUGGAGGGCAAGUCUGGUGCCAGCAGCCGCGGUAAUUCCAGCUCCAAUAGCGUAUAUUAAACUUGUUGCAGUUAAAAAGCUCGUAGUUGUAUUUUUGCGUUAGCGGUUUGACCAUUUGGUUGGUUAUUUCGUUUUCGCUUUUGGGAAUUUCCCUUUUUACUUUGAGAAAAUUAGAGUGUUUCAAGCAGACUUUUGUCUUGAAUACUUCAGCAUGGAAUAAUAGAGUAGGACUUUGGUUCUAUUUUGUUGGUUAUUGAACCUUAGUAAUGGUUAAUAGGAACGGUUGGGGGCAUUCGUAUUUAACUGUCAGAGGUGAAAUUCUUAGAUUUGUUAAAGACGAACUACUGCGAAAGCAUUUGCCAAGGACGUUUCCAUUAAUCAAGAACGAAAGUUAGGGGAUCGAAGA